This 460-nucleotide ribosomal RNA is filed under the name uncultured bacterium. Its description in RNAcentral is "partial 16S ribosomal RNA". It matches the Rfam family "Bacterial small subunit ribosomal RNA", at positions 338 to 795 of the family's 1533-position model. The record is from RNAcentral.
CCUACGGGAGGCAGCAGUGAGGAAUAUUGGUCAAUGGACGAGAGUCUGAACCAGCCAAGUAGCGUGAAGGAUGACUGCCCUAUGGGUUGUAAACUUCUUUUAUAUGGGAAUAAAAUGUUCCACGUGUGGGGUUUUGUAUGUACCAUAUGAAUAAGGAUCGGCUAACUCCGUGCCAGCAGCCGCGGUAAUACGGAGGAUCCGAGCGUUAUCCGGAUUUAUUGGGUUUAAAGGGAGCGUAGAUGGGUUGUUAAGUCAGUUGUGAAAGUUUGCGGCUCAACCGUAAAAUUGCAAUUGAUACUGGCAGUCUUGAGUACAGUUGAGGUAGGCGGAAUUCGUGGUGUAGCGGUGAAAUGCUUAGAUAUCACGAAGAACCCCGAUUGCGAAGGCAGCUUACUAAACUGUGACUGACAUUGAUGCUCGAAAGUGUGGGUAUCAAACAGGAUUAGAUACCCCAGUAGUC